AAUCAACGCUGGCGGCGUGCCUCAGACAUGCAAGUCGAACGAUUAAAGCUCUCUUCGGAGAGUGCAUAGAGUGGCGCACGGGUGAGUAACACGUAAGUAAUCUACCUCUGAGUGGGGAAUACCAUCGGGAAACCGAUGCUAAUACCGCAUAAUGCAACAGCAUCGCAAGGUGCAGUUGUUAAAGAUUUAUCGCUUGGAGAGGAGCUUGCGGCAGAUUAGCUAGUUGGUAAGGUAAUGGCUUACCAAGGCUACGAUCUGUAACCGGUCUAAGAGGACGGUCGGUCACACUGACACUGAAUAACGGGUCAGACUCCUACGGGAGGCAGCAGCCGGGAAUUUUGGGCAAUGGGCGAAAGCCUGACCCAGCAACGCCGCGUGAAGGAUGAAGUAUUUCGGUAUGUAAACUUCGAAAGAAUGGGAAGAAUAAAUGACGGUACCAUUUAUAAGGUCCGGCUAACUACGUGCCAGCAGCCGCCGCCGUAAC
Molecule: ribosomal RNA, 484 nt
Filed under: uncultured bacterium
Lineage: Bacteria
Description: bacterial SSU rRNA
Rfam family: Bacterial small subunit ribosomal RNA
Source: RNAcentral